UAAAUGUAUUCCAUUUAGUUCAUUCACUGUUAUAAUUAUUCGUCAUAUUUAAUUGUCUUUUAGUACAUGACGUUGCUUAGAAUAUUACUUUGAGUUGGUUUAUUAUUUGCCAGAAAUGAAAUGAAAUGAUAUGAUGCGUUACCUCCCCUUUCAAUUUAAUUAAAUUAGGUCAUUUUAAUUAUAUAAUAAUAAUAAUAAUAAUAAUAAUAAUAUUGUAUACCAGCUUACAUUUAUUUCAUACCGUUGUAUAAUUAGUCAGUUUCGCAGCGCCUUCCAAUCUUUAGGUUUCCUAUCUCGUAUGGCUGUAAUCACAUAAAAGUCGACUAUAACCUGCUAUAGCGUAUAGGAAUGUUUGUUAUUUUAAUUGCCCAAUCAAAUUAAUUGGCAUGUUCUGGUGAAGAAUCAUCAUUGGGUCACGAAAAUACAUCUGACCAGAAUUAACAGAUACUUGGAAAAAGGUUUUCCUAGAAGUCUAUAUUAUUCUACUAUUAUUCCUCAGGUGUAGCUGUGAAAGUGAUGAUUAAUGUGACUCUGAAAGAACAGUAUAUAAUUAUAAUAUUCUUGGCGUUGUUUAUCUUCACUUGAGCAGGUGUACGGUAUAGCUUACAUUGGAUAUAUGCUUGUGUUGCUUACAAAGCGGUCAGUCAAAAGUAUUCGACCGUCGAUUAUAGUCUCACAAUUACGCAUGCAUGCAUAUUCGCUUUUCUUUUCACGCAUUUCAGCACAGGAAAUGAAGCCUUGGUCGAUUUUGAAUCGCGCGUAUAUUUAA
Paramuricea clavata is the source of this 769-nucleotide non-coding RNA. The record is from the annotation of a GenBank genome assembly. NCBI's taxonomy places the organism in Eukaryota, Metazoa, Cnidaria, Anthozoa, Malacalcyonacea, Plexauridae.